GCAGUCGAACGAGCUGCGCCUAAUGAUAGUUGAUGCUUGCAUUAGCUUGACUUAAGUUAGCAGCGAGUGGCGAACUGGUGAGUAACACGUGGAUAACCUGCCCAGAAGAAGGGGAUAACACCUGGAAACAGAUGCUAAUACCGUAUAACAACGAAAACCACAUGGUUUUCGUUUGAAAGAUGGCCUUUGUGCUAUCGCUUUUGGAUGGAUCCGCGGCGCAUUAGCUAGUUGGUGAGAUAAAGGCUCACCAAGGCAAUGAUGCGUAGCCGACCUGAGAGGGUAAUCGGCCACAUUGGGACUGAGACACGGCCCAGACUCCUACGGGAGGCAGCAGUAGGGAAUCUUCCACAAUGGACGAAAGUCUGAUGGAGCAAUGCCGCGUGAGUGAAGAAGGGUUUCGGCUCGUAAAACUCUGUUGUUAGAGAAGAACGGGCGUGAGAGUAACUGCUCACGUCGCGACGGUAUCUAACCAGAAAGUCACGGCUAACUACGUGCCAGCAGCCGCGGUAAUACGUAGGUGGCAAGCGUUGUCCGGAUUUAUUGGGCGUAAAGCGAGCGCAGGCGGUCUUCUAAGUCUGAUGUGAAAGCCUUCGGCUUAACCGGAGAAGUGCAUCGGAAACUGGGAAACUUGAGUGC
RNAcentral lists this ribosomal RNA (636 nucleotides) under Fructilactobacillus fructivorans. RNAcentral describes it as "bacterial SSU rRNA". It matches the Rfam family "Bacterial small subunit ribosomal RNA", at positions 57 to 649 of the family's 1533-position model. The record is from RNAcentral. Lineage: Bacteria; Bacillati; Bacillota; Bacilli; Lactobacillales; Lactobacillaceae.